RNAcentral lists this long non-coding RNA (1565 nucleotides) under Salmo salar (Atlantic salmon). Its description in RNAcentral is "lncRNA (ENSSSAG00000089897.1)". Lineage: Eukaryota; Metazoa; Chordata; Actinopteri; Salmoniformes; Salmonidae. The record is from RNAcentral.
GGGAGGGGCAGGGAUGAGGGGACUCCUCAGUCCCUCCACUAAUUGAAAACAUAAAUAUCAGAGAGGAAGAGAGACAGAACAGUAGGGGAAGCAUGGAAGAGGAGACGCACAGGCAAUACCAAGGAACGCUCAUUCUAAUCACUGUGUUUAACUGGUCAGGUCAGAAACCAGAAUUAAAGCAGGGGGAAUAAUGGAUGGAGAGAGGGGGAGAGAAAGAGAGAGAAGAAAACAGAGAUAUACAGAAAAAAAAGAGAAAGAAUGAGAAAGACUCAUGGUUAAAACAAACUACAUAAGAAGAUCUAGAAUGAGAUUAAAUAAACGAGAGAAUAAGAGAGAGAAAAAGAAAGUGGGAGGGGGGAGGGCGAGAGAGAAAGAAAGAGGGAGAGAAAGAGGAGGAGAGAGAGAAAGAAAGAGGAGGAGAGAGAGAGAAAGAGAGAAAGAGAAAGAGAGAGUAAAAUGAGUAAAGAGAGUAAAAGUAACCAAAGGAAAUGUAGAUACAUUGAGACGAACAGAAAGUGAGAUGAAUGCAUAUGUUUGUGUGAAGCCAGGACAUAGUGUUCCCCAUAGUGUAUGUGCAACCAUGUGUUUCUGAAUGUGUGUGGGUGGCAAAUUGUGUUUGUUCAAACAUAAUCCAUAUGAGACCAUCUUUGUUUACAUCUUCAGACCGAGGAAAGCUUUCAGCUCGCCAGGACAAGACCAUGUAUUCAGGGAGCUAAAAUGAUUGGAAAACUACAAUGUAUGAUAUCGUCCACUGAACCCCCUUUCUUCCUCAAAAGGAUCAGAGUUAAUCUGAUCUUUCAAGGACCUUUGAAGCAGCAAAUUGAGGAAAUGUCUGAUUUUCAAGGUUUUGUCGUGCCCUAUUCACGACUGUCUUGGUGUGCUUUGACCAUGUUAUUUUGUUGGCGAUGUGGAAGCCAAGGAACUUGAAGCUCUCAACCUGCUCCACUACAGCCCCGUCGAUGAGAAUGGGGGCGUGCUCAGUCUUCUUUUUCCUGUAGUCCACAAUCAUCUCCUUUGUCUUGAUCACAUUGAGUGAGAGGUUGUUGUCCUGCCACCACAUGACCAGGUAUCUGACCACCUCCCUAUAGGCUGUCUUGUCGUUGUCGGUGAUCAGGCCUACCACUGUUGUGUCAUCUGCAAAGCUAAUGAUGGUGUUGGAGUCGUGCCUGGCCGUGCAGUCAUGAUUGUUUAGGGAGUACAGGAGGGGACUGAGCACGCACCCUUGAGGGGCCCAUGUGUUGAGGAUCAGCGUGGCGGAUGUGUUGUUACCUACCCUUAAUCUUUAUGUAAUUUAUCUUUGUUUCAUAGUGAAGUCUCUUCUUUUUAUUCAGUUUAGUCACAUGAUUUUUCAAUUUGUAGUAUGUUUGCCAAUGGGUUGUGCAGCCAGACUUAUUUGCCAUUCCUUUUGCCUCAUCCCUCUCAACCACACAAUUUUUCAAUUCCUCAUCAACCCACAGGUAUUUAACCAUUUUACAGUCAUUUUCUUAAUGGGUGCAUGCUUAUUAGUAACUGGGAUAAGAAAUUUCAUAAAUGUUUCAAGUGCAGCGUCUGUUUGCUCCUCAUUA